AAUGAACGCUGGCGGCGUGUCUUAAGCAUGCAAGUCGUGCGGCAAGGGUAGCAAUACCCCUAGAGCGGCGGACUGGUGAGUAACGCGUGGGUGAUCUGCCUCCGGGAUGGGGAUAGCCACUAGAAAUAGUGGGUAAUACCGAAUACGUUCACCGAACUGUGGUUUGGUGAGGAAAGGCGCUUCGGCGCCACCCGGAGAUGAGCCCGCGUCCCAUUAGCUAGUUGGUGAGGUAAAAGCCCACCAAGGCGAUGAUGGGUAGGCGGCCUGAGAGGGUGUACGCCCACACUGGGACUGAGAUACGGCCCAGACUCCUACGGGGGGCAGCAGUAGGGAAUUUUCGGCAAUGGGCGAAAGCCUGACCGAGCGACGCCGCGUGAGGGACGAAGGCCUUCGGGUUGUAAACCUCUGUCUGGGGGAUGAGAACGGACGGUACCCCGGAGGAACGCCCGGCUAACUACGUG
Molecule: ribosomal RNA, 461 nt
Filed under: uncultured bacterium
Lineage: Bacteria
Description: bacterial SSU rRNA
Rfam family: Bacterial small subunit ribosomal RNA
Source: RNAcentral